Molecule: ribosomal RNA, 1112 nt
Filed under: uncultured Bacteroidota bacterium
Lineage: Bacteria; Pseudomonadati; Bacteroidota
Also listed under: 1 other name
Description: bacterial SSU rRNA
Rfam family: Bacterial small subunit ribosomal RNA
Source: RNAcentral
AGAGUUCGAUCCUGGCUCAGGAUGAACGCUGGCGGCAGGCUUAAUACAUGCAAGUCGAACGGUAAGGUCCGAAGUGGCAACACGGAGGAUACACGAGUGGCGCACGGGUGCGUAACGCGUAUGCAACCUGCCCCCGACCGGGACAAAACAGGGGAUGGGCAUGCGUAUUAUUAGGUAGUUGGCGGGGUAACGGCCCACCAAGCCGACGAUGAUUAGGGGUCCUGAGAGGGUUAACCCCCACACUGGAACUGAGACACGGUCCAGACUCCUACGGGAGGCAGCAGUAGGGAAUAUUGGGCAAUGGGAGCAAUCCUGACCCAGCCAUGCCGCGUGAAGGAAGACGGCCCUAUGGGUUGUAAACUUCUUUUGCCGCAGAGUAAACCCGGUCACGAGUGGUCGGUUGAGAGUAUGCGGCGAAUAAGUAUCGGCUAACUCCGUGCCAGCAGCCGCGGUAAUACGGAGGAUACGAGCGUUAUCCGGAUUUAUUGGGUUUAAAGGGUGCGCAGGCGGACCGCUAAGUCAGGGGUGAAAAGUUCGGGCUUAACCUGAAUCGUGCCUUUGAUACUGGCGGACUAGAGUGCGAUAGGCGUGGCCGGAAUGUGGUGUGUAGCGGUGAAAUGCUUAGAUAUGCCACAGAACACCGAUCGAGAAGUCAGGUCACGAGUUCGCAACUGACGCUCAUGCACGAAAGCGUGGGGAUCAAACAGGAUUAGAUACCCUGGUAGUCCACGCCGUAAACGAUGAUCACUCGUUGCCGGGCAGCGAUGUUCGGUGGCCAGGUUGAAACUCAAAGGAAUUGACGGGGGCCCGCACAAGCGGAGGAGCAUGUGGUUUAAUUCGAUGAUACGCGAGGAACCUUACCCGGGCUUGAACGUAACACCAACAUACAGGAGACUGUAUGGCCUUCGGGGGUGUUGCGAGGUGCUGCAUGGUUGUCGUCAGCUCGUGCCGUGAGGUGUUAGGUUAAGUCCUGCAACGAGCGCAACCCUUACCUUCAGUUGCCAGCACGUAAUGGUGGGGACUCUGGAGGAACUGCCUACGCAAGUAGAGAGGAAGGUGGGGAUGACGUCAAAUCAGCACGGCCCUUAUGUCCGGGGCUACACACGUGCUAC